RNAcentral lists this small RNA (125 nucleotides) under Marmota monax (woodchuck). Lineage: Eukaryota; Metazoa; Chordata; Mammalia; Rodentia; Sciuridae. The record is from RNAcentral.
ACUGGGCAUGGUGGCACAUGCCUGUAAUCCCAACAGCUCAGGAAGCUGAGGCAGGAGGAUCGUGAGUUCAAAGCCAGCCUCAGCAAAAGUGAGACACUAAGCAAGUCAGUGAGAUCCUGUCUCUA